RNAcentral lists this transfer RNA (90 nucleotides) under Entomoneis sp. RNAcentral's name for it is "tRNA-Ser". It matches the Rfam family "tRNA". From Rfam's summary of the family: Transfer RNA (tRNA) molecules are approximately 80 nucleotides in length. Lineage: Eukaryota; Bacillariophyta; Bacillariophyceae; Surirellales; Surirellaceae. The record is from RNAcentral.
GGAAAAAUGGCUGAGCGGUUUAAAGCGAAGAUUUGCUAAAUCUUUAUGCCCAUUUUAAAAGCAUCAUAGGUUCAAAUCCUAUUUUUUCUA